This is a long non-coding RNA of Jaculus jaculus (lesser Egyptian jerboa), 370 nucleotides long. RefSeq lists it as uncharacterized. The record is from RefSeq and is a predicted model, not a curated record. The transcript is spliced from 3 exons. Lineage: Eukaryota; Metazoa; Chordata; Mammalia; Rodentia; Dipodidae.
CUGGGGCGGGGCCGCGGGGAGCAUCCCAUGUGUCCUCCAGGAGCUCUGUCGGUUGCUGGUUGGUGUUCAGAGAGACUCUGCAGCUGCAGUCCCCAACAGUCUCGGCCUUCUCCGGCCGUGGCCCCAGGAGGUGCUGGGGAAGGAUGGCUUGAAGCUCUGGGGGACCCAGAAGAGCAGCGGCGCCAAGGCACGGCGAAGGGGAAGAAAAGAAAAAAGCCAUCCAACAAGACAGCCCUUCCGGUGACUGCGGACAAAGGAUGCAAAAAAACUACAGGGAACAGCAAAAACAGGUGGAGUUGGUGUGUGUUGGGUUCUGAAAGGCCCAGGUGUGAGGCCUAAUGGAACUUCCUGAGCCUAGCUAAAGUUUGGC